This is a long non-coding RNA of Sapajus apella (tufted capuchin), 102 nucleotides long. RefSeq lists it as uncharacterized. Lineage: Eukaryota; Metazoa; Chordata; Mammalia; Primates; Cebidae. The transcript has 3 exons. The record is from RefSeq and is a predicted model, not a curated record.
GUCGGUUCAUGAGGUUUAAGGAAAGAAGCCAUCUCCGUAACAUAAAAAGUUCAAGACAAAACAGCAAGUACUGAUGUAGAAGCAAUAAGACCAAAUUAUCAA